RNAcentral lists this ribosomal RNA (1758 nucleotides) under Triticum aestivum (bread wheat). Its description in RNAcentral is "partial small subunit ribosomal RNA". Lineage: Eukaryota; Viridiplantae; Streptophyta; Magnoliopsida; Poales; Poaceae. The record is from RNAcentral.
GACGAGCGAUCCGCAAAUGUCGAACGGCCCAAGCUUAAAACAAAAAAUUGUCCCGAGCACGUCAUCCCCAACCUCUCGACCUUAUCCUCCCACCGCACCGCGCCGCGACGCCUGCCCGACCUUGCACGGCGCCGCCCCCAUCUCGCCCGACCUUCCACCGCGCCGCCCCACCCAGCCUCCCACCGCGCCGCGCUGCCCCGCCCCGCCCGGCCUCCCACCGCGCCGCGCCGCCCCGCCCGGCCUUCCAUCGCGCGGCGCCGCCCCGCUCGGCCUUCCUCCGCGUCGCCCGGCCUCCCACCGCGUAGCGCCGCCCCGCCCGAGCUCCCACCGCAACGCACCCUCCCGCUACAUGUCUCACCCUCCCUCGGCUGCAGGUCGCGGCCUCCCGCGGCUGCAGGUCACAGAUUCGACCUCGUCGCUUCACAUAGGGACCGUGGCCUCCCCCGCGUGUGGUCGCCUCCGUCCUGCUUCAAGCCCGUUUCCGACCGUCCAUAGACUGAUUGAACUGACGGGCUUGAUCCCCUUCGACAAUAGCAGCUUCACCAAUGUUGCCGUUAAACAACGCAGCGGUCAGAUGCUUUUCUCUUGUUUUCUCUCGCCUCUGUAAUUUCUUUUUGAUUUUGGGGACUGAGUGAGUGCAGUUCACCGAGGCAUUCCAUGUGUUGAUGGGUUUUCUUGGUUAGCACAAAUUCAUGAACUAUCAUUUUUUUAAUUGAAUUGUUGCUACUCUUGAUUCUGAUAUGAGGGGAGAAGACAAAACUAAAUGAUUCAGUUCAUCAUUGGCAUCCUUGUGAACAGUUCUGAAGAUAGCUUUCAGAGACUAAUUACGGUGAUAUUUCUCUCAAACUUUUUCUACAAAUAACCUGGGACUUCCACUGACUGUGCCACUACUUCAGCGUCCACCAUUAGUGGCAUUGGCCGCCCUCUGGGCCCAAACCCACUAUCGUGCAAGAAAAAGAAAUCAAAGCCUCAACCAUCAGCUGCUCAAAUCAUCAGCUUCUCCUGCUCCUCCUCCUCCUGGUAUACACGAACUCCAGUUCGUCGAGAGGCUCCCUGGAGCAAUGGCAUGCUCCAAGCCCGCCGAGACUGAAUCAUUCGACAUCAAUUCUCUGCACAGCGUGGCUCGACGUGCAGCCCGCCGGCUCCUUCGUGUACGUCCAGACAAGAUGCUAUGAUGUACAAUUUAAUGCAUGAAGACCCGACCCAACCAGCGUCGCCAUGGCACGGCGCCUACUGGCGAAGGACCACCACCUCCCCGACGACGUGCCCAAACCCGCCGACGAGGCCCGCCGCCCCAACCCUCCUCCUUCCUCCUCGCAUCGGGAUGAGCAAGAUCCAGCCGGCGCCUAAAGCCCAUUCCACCAUUGUACCUCUCCCUUCCGCUCGCUGCACUGACCGGUGUGACAUAGCGCCGCCGCCAAGGGAUUGAGGCUUCGCCAAGGAACAAGACUGGUAACUAGCGCAAAGGAGACUAUGUCGAGAGGUGGCACUGCUAGACUUGCUGAUGUGUAGUUAUGGCAUAAAAAAGAUGAAAAAAAUGGUAUCUUGUAUGAUUCCAUAAAGUGUACGUAUCAAAUCUUCCCAUGUGGAUCAGUACAACUUAUGUACGGCCUUGAGUUCACAAAUCUUAUAGUAAUCUUUGUAGUACUUUCCGUAACACUAAGUAAAGCAAGAGUAGCCCUUUUUUGUGAGCAACAAUUCAAACGAAUCUGUUGUAUCAGUUCUUAUGAUAGAUAGAAGAAAGUUCACCAGCCAAAA